This 423-nucleotide ribosomal RNA is filed under the name uncultured bacterium. Its description in RNAcentral is "bacterial SSU rRNA". It matches the Rfam family "Bacterial small subunit ribosomal RNA", at positions 954 to 1380 of the family's 1533-position model. The record is from RNAcentral.
UGGGAACGCGAAGAACCUUACCAGGGCUUGACAUCCUACUAAUGAAGCAGAGAUGCAUUAAGUGCCCUUUGGGGAAAGUAGAGACAGGUGGUGCAUGGUUGUCGUCAGCUCGUGUCGUGAGAUGUUGGGUUAAGUCCCGCAACGAGCGCAACCCCUAUUGUUAGUUGCUACGCAAGAGCACUCUAGCGAGACUGCCGUUGACAAAACGGAGGAAGGUGGGGACGACGUCAAAUCAUCAUGCCCCUUAGGUCCUGGGCCACACACGUAAUACAAUGGCGUUAAACAGAGGGAUGCUAAGCCGUGAGGUGGAGCGAACCCCUAAAAGGCGUCUCAGUUCGGAUUGCAGGCUGCAACUCGCCUGCAUGAAGCUGGAGUUGCUAGUAAUCGCGAAUCAGAAUGUCGCGGUGAAUACGUUCCCGGGUC